RNAcentral lists this non-coding RNA (22 nucleotides) under Mus musculus (house mouse). The record is from RNAcentral. Lineage: Eukaryota; Metazoa; Chordata; Mammalia; Rodentia; Muridae.
UGCAUGCUGGGGUGUGCUGUUC